AGUGAACGCUGGCGGUGUGCCUAACACAUGCAAGUCGAACGGCAACACAGUGAGUGUUUGCUCUUACGGGUGGCGGGUGGCGGGCGGGUCACGAAUGCAUCGGAAUCUACUUUUUCGGGGAGGAUAACGUAGGUAAACUUACUAUAAUAUCGCAUAUGCUGUACGGGUGAAAGCAGUGGAUAUUCUGACCUUUCGCGAUUGAAUGAGCCGCUGUCGGGCUAGCUAGUUGGCGGGGUAAAGGCCCACCAAGGCGACGAUCCGUAGCUGGACUGAGAGGAUGGUCGGCCACACUGGAGCUGAGACACGGUCCAGACUACUACGGGAGGCAGCAGUCGGGAAUGGUGGGCAAUGGGCGCAAGCCUGGCCCAGCCAUACCGAGUGGGUGAAGAAGGCCUUCGGGUUGUAAAGCCCUUUUGUUGGGAAAGAAAAGCUGCAGCUUAAUACGCAGCUGUUCUGACGGUACCGAAUGAAUAAGCACCGGCUAACUACGUG
Molecule: ribosomal RNA, 492 nt
Filed under: uncultured bacterium
Lineage: Bacteria
Description: partial 16S ribosomal RNA
Rfam family: Bacterial small subunit ribosomal RNA
Source: RNAcentral